GAUGAACGCUGGCGGCGUGCCUAAUACAUGCAAGUCGAACGAUCCGCCUUUGGCGGAUAGUGGCGAACGGGUGAGUAACACGUUGGUACCUACCCCGAAGUGGGGAAUAACUGUCCGAAAGGGUGGCUAAUACCGCAUAAUACCGCAAGGUUAAAGCAGUAAUGCGCUUCGGGAGGGGCCGGCGUCCCAUUAGCUAGUUGGUAGGGUAAUGGCCUACCAAGGCGACGAUGGGUAGCUGGAUCGAGAGGUUGACCAGCCACACUGGGACUGAGAUACGGCCCAGACUCCUACGGGAGGCAGCAGUAAGGAAUCUUCCACAAUGGACGAAAGUCUGAUGGUGCAACGCCGCGUGCAGGAUGACGGCCUUCGGGUUGUAAACUGCUUUUAUAUGGGAAGAUUAUGACGGUACCAUAUGAAUAAGGACCGGCUAACUACGUGCCAGCCGCCGCGGUAA
This 454-nucleotide ribosomal RNA is filed under the name uncultured bacterium. RNAcentral's name for it is "partial 16S ribosomal RNA". It matches the Rfam family "Bacterial small subunit ribosomal RNA", at positions 28 to 523 of the family's 1533-position model. The record is from RNAcentral.